CUCUUGCCUUCUGCCAUGUAAGAUAUGACUGUGCUCCUCCUUCACCUUCUGCCAUGAUUGUGAGGCCUCCACAGCCAUGUGGAACUCCAUGAGUAUGACUAUGUGCUGAGUCCUGUGAGUCCUCCUACUGAAUCAUCAAAGCCAGGGGGGAAGCUGUUUUUCCCUCUUUGGGGUCUCAGAGAGAUUGGUGGCAAGGACUCCUGGGAAGAGAAAAGCUGAAGGACACUCUGGCAAGAGGUAAUAAGUUAGUCCUUGCAAAAUGGCCAUGGGCUGGAUGACAAGGAAAGAAGCAGCCAUUACAGGACACAGUGGGUGAAACUGACACAAGCUUAAGUUUUCUAGGAGCAAAUGUAUCUCAUAAUCAAUUUUAAGUUUUUUUUUUGUUCGCAAUUUCCAUAUAUUAUACCCAAGCACUCAGCAAAGUUGCAUUAUACAUCACAGCUCAGUCUAACCUGCAUUUGGAGAAUUAACCCAUUGUCCAUGUUUCUGCAAAGCCUCAUGAAGAGAGAUAUUAAGGGAACAAGAGGUGCCCUGCAAAGAGAUGAAGCUCCAGGCUAAGGUAAUGAGACACAGGGAAGGGGAAUCUUCUAGAAGAAAGAAUAUCAUGCAAUCAAACUAGAUGGGGAAUAGAGCCACAGGAUAUGAAUACUAAAAACAAGUGUAGCCUCUUGUUGCUAGAGGAAGCUAGAAAAUCAAAGUUGCACAUGCUUGUUUUUUGUAACAAAUUACAGUCAGGCUGAAUGUACUAUUUAUGGCCUGCUUAACUGACUUAACAAUAUAUUGUAUCAUUAAAAAUUCUGCUACAACUCAGUUUGUACUGGCUGCUAAUUAUUCUGUUGUAUGGAAAAACUAUAAUUUAUUUUACCAAUAUUCUAUUAUU
RNAcentral lists this long non-coding RNA (880 nucleotides) under Homo sapiens (human). RNAcentral describes it as "non-protein coding LINC00520:21". The record is from RNAcentral. Lineage: Eukaryota; Metazoa; Chordata; Mammalia; Primates; Hominidae.